This 648-nucleotide ribosomal RNA is filed under the name Hypselostoma cucumensis. Its description in RNAcentral is "partial 28S ribosomal RNA". It matches the Rfam family "Eukaryotic large subunit ribosomal RNA", at positions 368 to 790 of the family's 3401-position model. Lineage: Eukaryota; Metazoa; Mollusca; Gastropoda; Stylommatophora; Vertiginidae. The record is from RNAcentral.
AAAGAACUUUGAAGAGAGAGUUCAAGAGUACGUGAAACCGCCCAGAGGUAAACGGGUGGAUCCGCAAAGUCGGUCCGCGGAAUUCAGCGCGGCGCGCGGUCCGGGGUUUCGCCGUUUGGUUCGGGAUCGCUCGUGAACCGACCUCGGUAGCCUCGCCGGGCCCCGCCGCGUGCACUUUCCGCGGGCAGAGAGCCACAACCGGUUCGGGGUUUGUUUUUGCGCGGCGACAGGCCGGGAGGGUUGUAGGUGGGGGCGCUCGCCGUCCCUACCAGCCUUCCCCGGUUAGCCGCGGCCGGACCGAGGGACCGCCUCGCGCCUCGAGGCCACCUUCCCCUCCGGGCGAGUUCGACUGGGAGAGACUGGGCAACCGUGUCUCCCGACCGCUCGCCCGCGAUCGGCGCAGGGCUGGCCGGGCGCGCGCCAAUUUUGUACGAGGGUUAGUGGCAAGUCUGUCGGCAUUCCACCCGACCCGUCUUGAAACACGGACCAAGGAGUCUAACAUGCGCGCGAGUCAUUGGGCGGUACGAAACCCAAAGGCGCAGUGAAAGCGAGGGUCGUCUCCGAGCGGCCCAGGUGGGAUCCUCUCCUCUAAACUUCCCUCAAACAGCAUUCACGUGUUGGCUUGCGGGGGGGCCGGCGAGGAGUGGC